RNAcentral lists this ribosomal RNA (525 nucleotides) under Lasius brunneus. Its description in RNAcentral is "partial 16S ribosomal RNA". Lineage: Eukaryota; Metazoa; Arthropoda; Insecta; Hymenoptera; Formicidae. The record is from RNAcentral.
GGUUUUUUGAAUAUUUAUAAUUUAAGAUUAGUUCUGCUCAAUGAUUUAAGUUAAAUAGCCGCAGUAUUUUGACUGUGCUAAGGUAGCAUAAUCAAUUGUUUUUUAAUUGAGGACUGGAAUGAAGGAAUUGAUGAAAUUAAGACUGUCUAUUGUUAAAUCAUUAAAAUUUAAAUUUUAAGUAAUAAUUCUUAAAUAAAAUUAUGGGACGAGAAGACCCUAUAGAAUUUGAUAUAAUUUUUUAAAAAAUAUAAGUAAAAAUUUAAUAAAAUUAAUAUUUUAUUGGGAGGAUAAUUAAAUUAAAUUAACUUUAAGAUUAAAAUUGAAACAUUAAUUUAUGAAAAAUUUGAAUAAUUUUUUUAAUAAUAAUAAAUAAAAUUAAUAAAAAAUUAAUUACCUUAGGGAUAACAGCGUAAUAUUUUUAAAAAGAUCAUAUUGAUAAAAAUGAUUGCGACCUCGAUGUUGAAUUAAAAUAAAAGUUAAAUGAAGAAGUUUAAUAUUUUAGUCUGUUCGACUAUUAAAAUUUUA